Molecule: non-coding RNA, 2897 nt
Organism: Malus domestica (apple)
Lineage: Eukaryota; Viridiplantae; Streptophyta; Magnoliopsida; Rosales; Rosaceae
Source: RefSeq, a predicted model, not a curated record
CUUCAACCUUUUCUCUCCACUCACCCCCUCCCUCCCUCCCUCCCUCCCUCCCAAUUCCACACUUCACCACGCCAUGAAUUCCUUCUCUACUCCACACUACCUCUAAUACAAAACCCCAAUUGAAAAUUCCCCAAAAACUCAAAUCACAUCUGCAAAUUUCUGAAAUUUGUUGUAAAGCUCCGAGCUUUGAGAAUGGUUUCUCUUGAAGAUUCCCAUUCCGGCUCCAACCACCACUUCCCGCCGCACACGCGCAACUUCUAUUCUCCCUCCUCCACCAAAAUCCACCGCCAAACUGGCCGCUCCAUGCGCACCAUCCGCUCCAGCAUCUACCAAGACGACCACUCCCGAACCUCCUUCGCCGCCGAAAGAUCGCCUUUUGUCUCCGAGAACCUAACUGAUUCUGUCGUCGACAUGCGCCUCGGCGAGCUCGCCUUACGCACCCACAGCUCCGCCGCCAAGUCCGCCUCCUCCGACGAGGAGUACCUCCAGCUCUCCCAAGCCUUCAGCGAUUUCUCUGCCUGCAGCAGUGACAUCUCGGGAGAAUUGCAACGACUCGCGAGCUUGCCGUCGCCGGAAAACGGGCCGACCUCCGAAUCAGCCGAGGCUGCGCCGGAACCGGAGCCAUGUCAGGGGUUUUUGCAGAGGGAGAACUUCUCGACCGAAAUCAUCGAAAGCAUUUCGCCGGAGGAUCUUCAGCCGACGGUCAAGAUCUGCGUCGACGGCCUCCAAUCGCCGUCGCUUGCCGUGAAGCAAUCUGCUGCUGCCAAGCUCAGGCUUUUAGCGAAGAACCGGGCCGACAAUCGCGCCUUGAUUGGCGAGUCUGGCGCCGUCCCUGCUCUAAUUCCUCUGCUGCGGUGCAGCGAUCCGUGGACGCAGGAGCACGCCGUCACGGCGCUGUUUAACCUCUCACUGCACGAAUCGAACAAGGCAAUAAUCACCAAUGCCGGAGCUAUAAAGUCGUUAGUGUACGUCCUCAAGACCGGGACGGAGACCUCGAAGCAAAACGCCGCCUGUGCGCUGCUGAGCUUGGCGCUAAUUGAAGAGAACAAGGGCUCAAUCGGAGCAUGCGGCGCGAUUCCGCCCCUGGUUUCCCUGUUAAUAAGUGGAUCCAUGAGGGGCAAAAAGGACGCCUUGACGACUCUGUACAAGCUCUGCUCGAUAAAGCCCAACAAAGAGAGGGCGGUGAGCGCUGGAGCUGUGAAGCCGCUAGUGGCGCUGGUGGCGGAGCAGGGGACGGGCCUGGCGGAGAAGGCGAUGGUGGUGCUAAGUAGCUUGGCAGGAGUUGAGGAGGGAAAGGAGGCUAUUGUGGAGGAAGGUGGGCUGGCAGCGCUUGUGGAGGCGAUUGAGGAUGGGUCGGUGAAAGGAAAGGAGUUUGCGGUGUUGACACUGUUGCAGCUGUGCACUGAGAGUGUGAGGAACAGAGGGUUGCUUGUGAGGGAAGGAGGGAUUCCGCCGUUGGUUGCGCUUUCGCAGACUGGGAGUGUUAAAGCUAAGCACAAGGCUGAAACGCUUCUUGGGUACUUGAGAGAACCGAGACAAGAAGCGUCCUCUUCGGCUCUUUAGAGGAGCCAAGGGAGAAAUAGAAAGGGAUGAGAAGGGAAUGGGAUAGGGAUGGCAAACAAUUCAGGUUCUAUCUCGGCUACCAAACAGCAAACGAUACAACGGCCGUUUGGGAGCAGUAUUUUAUUGGGAAAUGCAAUGUAUUAAAGUAGCAGUGGGAGAAUAAGAGCGUUGGAUGUGUGGACAUACGAAAAAGAUAGAUUAAGAUAGAAGAUAUCCGAAGUAAAGUAAGAGUGAUCACAAUGAAGAUAAGAUGAGAGAAACUCGAUUAAAGUGGUUUGGAUACAACUCAAGAUCUACAGAUGCUCCGGUUAGAAAAUUCGACUAUAGGACUGAGGGUUAGGGUAAAAAUGGUAGAUGAAGACCUAUGAAUACUUAGAAAGAUACUUUAAGAAAAGAUAUAAAGUACUUGAGCUAAUGAAAGACUUGACACAAAAUCGAGCACAAUAGCGUUUUAUGAUUCAUACAGCGAAAUUCACUUAAUGGGAUAAAGUUUGAUUGUGUAAGAGCAUAGGGUAUAAUGAAGGGAGAGGAUGUGAAUGCUUCUAUAGAAAGUCCUUGUGCUCAUAAUUGCGAUUAAAGACGUUGAAAUUUUAAUAAAUACUUGGAAGGAUAUAUGGAAAAGCAUAUAUUGGUAUUUUAGAAAGCAGUUACAGGUGCUUUUUCAAUCUAUAAAUACUAACAAAUGGAAACUAUAGGAAACUAAAACAUGAUGGGCCAUAUUAUUAAGGAGAUAACGUGACAUAUACGUAUCAAUUAUCACACAAUGCGCCAUCAAAGUGUAAGGAUCUGAAAUAUGGUCAUUCCAAAGUAAUUCCUCAGCAAAUGUCUUAAACUUAACACGAUCUAGACAUAUUAUUCCUCAAGUUUAGCUUUGCCUUGGUGUCCUUGGGAGCAAAUAGCUUGGGUCUGAAGCCUUUCUGCAGCAACUUCUCAACCUCUUCAAACCGCAUUCCUUUGGUUUCAGGGACUAGGAAGUAAAUAAAUAUGAGUCCAAUGAGAGAAAACCCGGCAAAGAGGAGAAAUGUUCCAGCCGAACCCAGCGCUUUUGUGAAUGUCAAGUAUGCUUCAGUAACUAUGAGAUUGGCUAGUUUGAAACUGGAGCGACUCCUCCGCCAGUCCCUCUGUAUCUCAGCGGGUAUAUCUUCAAGCUCAUGAUCCAUGGUACGGUUCCCAUUCAGGGCGCAUACAUUGUAAUGUACAAUCCCCAUAGUAUCACUGCAAAUAUUCCAAUUUUACUAGGGCAACCUUUGCUGUACCAUGUCCUGUGUUCUCCACGACAUGUUCUGUUUAACAUAAGCAACAUCAAUACCAAGUUAUAUGCGACACUUUCCGUC